Dromiciops gliroides (monito del monte) is the source of this 499-nucleotide long non-coding RNA. RefSeq lists it as uncharacterized. Lineage: Eukaryota; Metazoa; Chordata; Mammalia; Microbiotheria; Microbiotheriidae. The record is from RefSeq and is a predicted model, not a curated record. The transcript has 3 exons.
CAAUGGAUUUAGGUGGUUUGACCUGGUGACAUAUGUCAGGAUAUGUAGACUACACAUAGCCCUAGGGUUAACCCUAGGAAGUCAUAUGAGACCCACCUGGCUGAAAAAGAAAGCUGAAGAAACAAGGUAGAUUGUCUCACUGGUGGCUAAAAUAAGGAGAAAUCAAAGGUAUGAUUUUCAUAAAUGCCUGGAAGACAGAAGAGGGAAGCAGAAAACAGACCAAAUGGAGAAGAUCUGAGACCUACUUAAAUUUAACUCCUGUCACAGAUAGCAGCAUCACUCUAAGGAAACAGCAGUCCCAAGUGUUGGUGGACAUAAUAAUAGCCUGUGCUCUCGCCUCUUGUAAUGGGAUAGAGGCUAUAGCAUCACACCCUGAAAAUUCACCAUCUCACUGAAGGAUUAAACAGGGUGCUCCCUAUUGUAAUCACUACAAGGAAAAACAGGGGAGAAAAUAAAUGGUAAAACCCACAGAAGAAUGUGCUGAAAUCAUCUUCUAACC